UACGGAGGGGGCUAGCGUUGUUCGGAAUUACUGGGCGUAAAGAGCUCGUAGGCGGUCUGUCGCGUCUGCUGUGAAAACUCGGGGCUCAACCCCGGGCCUGCAGUGGGUACGGGCAGACUAGAGUGCGGUAGGGGAGACUGGAAUUCCUGGUGUAGCGGUGAAAUGCGCAGAUAUCAGGAGGAACACCGGUGGCGAAGGCGGGUCUCUGGGCCGUAACUGACGCUGAGGAGCGAAAGCGUGGGGAGCGAACAGG
This 253-nucleotide ribosomal RNA is filed under the name uncultured bacterium. Its description in RNAcentral is "partial 16S ribosomal RNA". It matches the Rfam family "Bacterial small subunit ribosomal RNA", at positions 524 to 776 of the family's 1533-position model. The record is from RNAcentral.